This is a non-coding RNA of Gymnothorax javanicus (giant moray), 72 nucleotides long. Lineage: Eukaryota; Metazoa; Chordata; Actinopteri; Anguilliformes; Muraenidae. The record is from the annotation of a GenBank genome assembly.
AUUAACAUAGCCCAGUGGUUAAGGUAAUGGACUAUUAUGCAAGUGAUCAGGGUUUGAAUCCCGGUGUGAGGU